Molecule: non-coding RNA, 554 nt
Organism: Drosophila melanogaster (fruit fly)
Lineage: Eukaryota; Metazoa; Arthropoda; Insecta; Diptera; Drosophilidae
Source: Ensembl
AGUGUUUUUAGACUGUUCCAGCUAACAGUAUUCGCCUCGGCUUUAUCAAGAGCAGCAGCAAGUCCAGCAGCAUGUGACUGUGACUCAGUGAGUCCGCCGAGUCCAUUUAUGUUGAAAUUCGUUUAAGAUCGAAACGGCGGCGCCAUGAAACUAUAAAUGCCAACUCUUCUGGUCUGACGUCCGUUCCGAGGCCCAUUGAUAAAAAAAAAUGUAUAUUUCUGAAUGCUCGGCGCGCCCUGCCGCUUACGCAAAACUCCUGCGAGCGGAUCCCGAUCCCCAAAAAGCCGAGACCGAACCCCAUAACCCAUACCCCAUACUCCAUACCCGAAACCGAAACCGAAGAAUUACAAAUCCCGAAAUCUGCUCUCUCUCUCUCUCUCUCUCUCACCCCCAUCGCCCAUUCCCAUUGAAAAGUGAAGAGCGGCUGUCUGAGCGGCAAACUGAGCCGAUCCGAAGCGCCGAUCCUCGAUUUUUGAGGCGCGUAUAAAAGCUUGGCUACGUCGGCAACGAAAGCUCAUUGUGCGCUCGCCGCUCGUGAUUAUCAGGUAACGUCG